AUAGCCCACCCGUUUUUGGGGCCUUUUUCCGCUGGACGAACAUGGCGCCCCGUGCUUCGGCAGUUAUUUUUGGGUGCAGCUGUGCCCGAGGCCUAUUUUUGGCAUGCGGAGGCCCCUCGCAAACUCUCGCGACAUUCCGAGUCUGGCGGACGAAGUAGGCCAGCCCCACCCCCCAAGGCUAUAGCCCACCCGUUUUUGUGGGCUUUUUCCGCUGGAGAAAGUUGGCGCCCCGGCCUUCGGGCGGUUCUUUUUGGUCCCGGCUCUGCACGCGGCCUAUUUUUGACACACGGAGGUGCCUCGCGAAGUCUCGCCCCAUUCCGAGACCAGCGGACGAAGUUGGCCAGCCCCACCCCACAAGGCUAUAGCCCACCCGUUUUUGUGGGCUUUUUCCGCUGGUCGAACUUGGCGCCCUGGCCUUCGGGCGGUUAUUUUUGGGUGCGGCUUUGCCCACGGCCUAUUUUUGGCAAAUGGAGGUGCCUCGCAUAGUCUCCCGCCAUUCCGGGUCCGGCAGACGAAGUUGGCCAGCCCCACCCCCCAAGGCUAUAGCCCACCUGUUUUUGUUGCCUUUUUCCGCCGGACGAACUUGGCGCCCCGUGCUUCGGGCAGUUAUUUUUGGGUACAGCUGUGCCCGCGGCCUAUUUUUGGCACACGGAGGCCCCUCGCAAAGUCUCGCGGCAUUCCGAGUCCGGCGGACGAAGUUGGCCAGCCCCACCACCCAAGGCUAUAGCCCACCCGUUUUUGUGGCCUUUUUCCGCUGGACGAACUUGGCGCCCCGGCCUUCGGGCGGUUAUUUUUGGGCGCGGCUUUGUCCACGGCCUAUUUUUGGCAAAUGGAGGUGCCUCGCAUAGUCUCGCGCCAUUCCGGGUCCGGCAGACGAAGUUGGCCAGCCCCACCCCCCAAGGCUAUAGCCCACCUGUUUUUGUUGCCUUUUUCCGCCGGACGAACUUGGCGCCCCGGGCUUCGGGCAGUUAUUUUUGGGUACAGCUGUGCCCGAGGCCUAUUUUUGUCACGCGGAGGCCCCUCGCAAAGUCUCGCGGCAUUCCGAGUCCGGCGGACGAAGUUGGCCAGCCCCACCCACCAAGGCUAUAGCCAACCCGUUUUUGUGGCCUUUUUCCGCUGGACGAACUUGGCGCCCCAGCCUUCGGGUGGUUAUU
This 1154-nucleotide long non-coding RNA is filed under the name Citrus x clementina. RNAcentral describes it as "Citrus clementina (C. clementina) long non-coding RNA (CCLE_LNC005019)". Lineage: Eukaryota; Viridiplantae; Streptophyta; Magnoliopsida; Sapindales; Rutaceae. The record is from RNAcentral.